Molecule: long non-coding RNA, 1076 nt
Filed under: Mus pahari (shrew mouse)
Lineage: Eukaryota; Metazoa; Chordata; Mammalia; Rodentia; Muridae
Description: predicted gene 5103 (MGP_PahariEiJ_G0005700.1)
Source: RNAcentral
UGUCUUUUCCAGAGACUUGCCUGGUGUGUUGUAACUAACCUCUGUUAGACUCUUUUGUAAUAUUAGCAUUGUGCAGAAGUUCUCUGCUUCUUAUCAUGAAAGAUCAUUUUCAAAUGAAGUUCAUUUAUCGUGCCUACACGUGCCUUUCUAAACAUUAUGUUUCAAGCGGAACCACGAAAGAGGUGGAUAUGAGAGUCACAGAGUGUGUGCUUUUUGUUUACAGUGAACCUCCAGAGACAAGGAAACUGUUCCGGUUUAAAACCGAAAGGUGGCUGGAAGGGCCAGAGGCUCGGGAACUGGCGUUUGGCUUGCAGGCGUGUGUCUGUGCACUCACUACAUGCAUGUCUGGUGCCCAAGGAAGCAGGAAGAGGUUGCUCGAUCUCCUGGAACUGGAGUUACAGACUGUUAUGUCCUGCUAUGUGGGUGCAGGGAAUUGAAACCAAGUCAUCUGAAAAAGCAGCCACUGCUUUUAAGUACUGAGCCAUGUCUCUAUCCCCUCAGAACCCAAUGUGGUAGGUCGCACAUCACCAUCUGCAACUGAGUUUCAGAAGAUCCAGCACCCUGUUCUGGCCUCCACCAGGUUCUUCUACAAUAGGGUGUUGGAAAGAGAAGUCUGUAUUUAAGGUUCGAUUUCUAAGAUGAGAGAACUUUUUUUGUGGCUGCUCUAUGACGCAGCUAUCAGAUGUGGGUGCUGGGAACUGAGUUCAGGUCCUCUCCAAGUGCUGUCAACCAGGUUUCCAGGCCUGGCUGCCAAGCCUGCUUAAUUGAAAGCAUGAGGAUAAAUGUCACAGCUCUUGAUGACUGAGUCACAGAACCAGCCCUGGAUACCCUAGUUGUGUGAUAACUACCUCUGCUCUUGAAUCAUUUUCUAUUAGUUGCUCUUCUUUAUAGCAGAAACUAUCUCAAUUAAAACAGUGACCAAGCCGGGCCUGGUGGUGCAGGCCUUUAAUCCCAGCACUCAGGAGGCAGAGGCAGGCGGAUUUCUGAGUUCGAAGCCAGCCUGGUCUACAAAGUGAGUUCCAGGACAGUCAGGGCUAUACAGAGAAACGCUGUCUCGAAACCUCCUCCCCCCCAAA